GCCAGCAUAGCUCAGCGGUAGAGCAGCGCAUUCGUAAUGCGCAGGUCAAGGGUUCAAAUCCCUUCGCUGGCUCCA
Molecule: transfer RNA, 75 nt
Filed under: Lentisphaeria bacterium
Lineage: Bacteria; Pseudomonadati; Lentisphaerota; Lentisphaeria
Also listed under: 2 other names
Description: tRNA-Thr
Rfam family: tRNA
About the family: Transfer RNA (tRNA) molecules are approximately 80 nucleotides in length.
Source: RNAcentral